UACGAAGGGUGCAAGCGUUAAUCGGAAUUACUGGGCGCAAAGGGUGCGUAGGCGGUUGUUUAAGUCUGUCGUGAAAUCCCCGGGCUCAACCUGGGAAUGGCGAUGGAUACUGGGCAGCUAGAGUGUGUCAGAGGAUGGUGGAAUUCCCGGUGUAGCGGUGAAAUGCGUAGAGAUCGGGAGGAACAUCAGUGGCGAAGGCGGCCAUCUGGGACAACACUGACGCUGAAGCACGAAAGCGUGGGGAGCAAACAGG
RNAcentral lists this ribosomal RNA (253 nucleotides) under uncultured bacterium. RNAcentral describes it as "partial 16S ribosomal RNA". It matches the Rfam family "Bacterial small subunit ribosomal RNA", at positions 524 to 776 of the family's 1533-position model. The record is from RNAcentral.